UACGGAGGGUGCAAGCGUUAAUCGGAAUUACUGGGCGUAAAGGGUGCGUAGGUGGUUAAAUAAGUUAUCUGUGAAAUCCCUGGGCUUAACCUGGGCAGGUCAGAUAAUACUGUAUAACUCGAGUAUGGGAGAGGGUAGUGGAAUUUCCGGUGUAGCGGUGAAAUGCGUAGAGAUCCGGAGGAACACCGACGGCGUAAGCAGCGCCCUAAACGAGUACUGACGCUCAGGCACGAAAGCUGGGGGAGCAAACAGG
RNAcentral lists this ribosomal RNA (253 nucleotides) under uncultured bacterium. RNAcentral's name for it is "partial 16S ribosomal RNA". It matches the Rfam family "Bacterial small subunit ribosomal RNA", at positions 524 to 776 of the family's 1533-position model. The record is from RNAcentral.